CGCCUCUUGUAAACAUAUAAGAGGUCCAGCCUGCCCAGUGACUGAGUUUAACGGCCGCGGUAUCCUAACCGUGCGAAGGUAGCGUAAUCACUUGUUCUUUAAAUGAGGACUAGUAUGAAUGGCAUCACGAGGGUUAUACUGUCUCCUUUUUCCAAUCAAUGAAACUGAUCCCCCCGUGAAGAAGCGGGGAUAUAAUUAUAAGACGAGAAGACCCUAUGGAGCUUUAAACUAUGUAACACUGGCUUAUCAAACUUCUAUAUUUCAGAAUCGCUAUAAUUACUCUAGCCACCCUGUUUACUAGUUUUAGGUUGGGGUGACCACGGAGCAAAAAUUAACCUCCAUGAUGAACGGAACCAUUCCUGAGCCAAAAGCUACAACUUUAAGCACUAACAAAUUAAUAUUAAUUGACCCAAUAUUUUGAUCAACGAACCAA
Molecule: ribosomal RNA, 433 nt
Filed under: Dendropsophus cf. xapuriensis
Lineage: Eukaryota; Metazoa; Chordata; Amphibia; Anura; Hylidae
Description: partial 16S ribosomal RNA
Rfam family: Bacterial large subunit ribosomal RNA
Source: RNAcentral